Molecule: ribosomal RNA, 253 nt
Filed under: uncultured bacterium
Lineage: Bacteria
Description: partial 16S ribosomal RNA
Rfam family: Bacterial small subunit ribosomal RNA
Source: RNAcentral
UACGUAGGGGGCAAGCGUUGUCCGGAAUCAUUGGGCGUAAAGCGCGUGUAGGCGGCCCGGUAAGUCCGCUGUGAAAGUCGGGGGCUCAACCCUCGAAUGCCGGUGGAUACUGUCGGGCUAGAGUGCGGGAGAGGCGAGUGGAAUUCCUGGUGUAGCGGUGAAAUGCGCAGAUAUCAGGAGGAACACCAAUUGCGAAGGCAGCCCGCUGGAACGUAACUGACGCUGAGACGCGAAAGCGUGGGGAGCAAACAGG